UCAGAAGAGGCUACUACUAGCUAUCUAGCUUCAUGUUUAACUCUUCUUGGUUUGUGUUUUUGUGUGCUUGUUGGAGUUGUUAGGAGGAAGAGAGGGGUGAGAGGUGAGGCUGACAGAAGAGAGUGAGCACACAUGGUGACUUUCUUGCAUGCUGAAUGGACUCAUGCUUGAAGCUACGUGUGCUCACUUCUCUCUCUGUCAGCCAUUUGAUCUCUCUUUCUCUCUUUCUCCCUCAUGUGUUAUACUGUUCUCUCAUAUCUAUCUUCUUUGAGGUAGUAAUAUACUUGAGCAAAUUAAGCUGCUUAAUUAUUUGUGUAUGAUGAUCAGCUGCUGAUCCGGCCUCAUUUCUUGCAUAUAUGACCACAACCACAUACAUGCUUGUUCAUUUUUUUUCACAAAGAAAGAGAACAGUUUAAUUUAAUUUCUUGGGGUUUUUGGAUCAGUUAAUUUGUCUUGAGAGGGGAAGAGAUCUCUAUGGGUUUUGGAGGUCUGACAGAAGAGAGUGAGCACACACGGUGCUUUCUUAGCAUGCAAGAGCCAUGCUGGGAGCUGUGCGUGCUCACUCUCUAUCUGUCAGCCGUUCACCAUGCCCAAUAUGAUUAAUCUCCUUCUCUCAGUUGACAGUAAUUUCUUUGCCAGAUCUCCUGUUAAAUUUUCUGCCUAGCUAGCUAUUAUGCACAUGCUUAUUAUGAUGAGCCUGCCAAUAUCAUCUCCACGGCAAAACACAAACUAGCUAUGAUUUGAUUCAUUAUAUUUCUUUUCGCUGUUUAAUUAAUUAUAUGCAG
This 785-nucleotide precursor RNA is filed under the name Oryza sativa Indica Group (long-grained rice). RNAcentral's name for it is "putative precursor microRNA R156bc". The stretch from base 490 to 577 matches the Rfam family "mir-156 microRNA precursor family". The record is from RNAcentral. Lineage: Eukaryota; Viridiplantae; Streptophyta; Magnoliopsida; Poales; Poaceae.